GUGCUCAAUUCAACCGUACAUUUCUAAAAUUGGAACAAUACAUAGAAUAUUAGCAUGGCCCCUACACAAGGACAAUGUGUAAAUUUGUGAAGCAUUUCAUAACAAA
Pipistrellus kuhlii (Kuhl's pipistrelle) is the source of this 106-nucleotide small nuclear RNA. The record is from RefSeq and is a predicted model, not a curated record. Lineage: Eukaryota; Metazoa; Chordata; Mammalia; Chiroptera; Vespertilionidae.